Molecule: long non-coding RNA, 432 nt
Organism: Mastomys coucha (southern multimammate mouse)
Lineage: Eukaryota; Metazoa; Chordata; Mammalia; Rodentia; Muridae
Exons: 2
Source: RefSeq, a predicted model, not a curated record
UUGGGGACUGGCCAUGAAUGUUGUCCCAGAGGUUGCCUCCAGCACUCUACCUCUCCCAACACAGGAUGGAGCCAGGUAGGAUCCUGGAGUGCAGGUGGGAGGCUGUGCCAGAAGUCUGAAGUUGAGAUAUCAUCAGAGCCAGUCCCUCCUGGAUAUGCACAAGGCAGCAGUCAUGGAUGCCUCCUUACUAGUCUUCAGUGCUCAGUCAUCCUGGCCGCCCUUGGCUCCUGGACUCACCUUUUCAGUGCCUAUAAGUUUCAAGGGAAGGCUACUCUGUGUGUCUACUUUCCAGAUCUCACCUUGACUUUAUCUUUGAAGGACACCAGCCGCUGGACUGUGGGUCCAGCCUAUACCAAGCAUGAUCUCAUCAUGAAUUACUUAAUGUAUCUGUGAAGGUGAAUUGGGUAUUAAUGUAGAUGCUAUGGGAGUUAG